Non-coding RNA from Chlorocebus sabaeus (green monkey), 102 nucleotides. Lineage: Eukaryota; Metazoa; Chordata; Mammalia; Primates; Cercopithecidae. The record is from RefSeq and is a predicted model, not a curated record.
GUGCUUUGUUUUAUCAGCACAUACACUGCCAAAUUGGAACAAUACAGAGAAGAUUAGCAUGGCUCCCUGCAUAAAGGCAUGUUGCGAAUGAAAUGUCUCUUU